This 492-nucleotide ribosomal RNA is filed under the name uncultured bacterium. RNAcentral describes it as "partial 16S ribosomal RNA". It matches the Rfam family "Bacterial small subunit ribosomal RNA", at positions 29 to 507 of the family's 1533-position model. The record is from RNAcentral.
AGUGAACGCUGGCGGUAGGCCUAACACAUGCAAGUCGAACGGCAGCACAGUAAGAGCUUGCUCUUACGGGUGGCGAGUGGCGGACGGGUGAGGAAUACAUCGGAAUCUACUUUUUCGUGGGGGAUAACGUAGGGAAACUUACGCUAAUACCGCAUACGGCCUACGGGUGAAAGCAGGGGAUCUUCGGACCUUGCGCGAUUGAAUGAGCCGAUGUCGGAUUAGCUAGUUGGCGGGGUAAAGGCCCACCAAGGCGACGAUCCGUAGCUGGUCUGAGAGGAUGAUCAGCCACACUGGAACUGAGACACGGUCCAGACUCCUACGGGAGGCAGCAGUGGGGAAUAUUGGACAAUGGGCGCAAGCCUGAUCCAGCCAUACCGCGUGGGUGAAGAAGGCCUUCGGGUUGUAAAGCCCUUUUGUUGUGAAAGAAAAGCAGCAGGUUAAUACCCCGCUGUUCUGACGGUACCCAAAGAAUAAGCACCGGCUAACUUCGUG